UCUACAUUGUGGAUGCAACAAAGAAUAGAUCCAAGAUGAAAAUGCAGUGGACUUUUAUUCAGUGCAGAUCAACAUGUUGCCACUAUAAAUACAAUGCAGCCGGGAAAACAACACACUGAGCUGCAAACAAAAGCCAACAGUUCAAGCAGAAGAGGAUUUUUCAGUGAUCUCUACUGAUGCUAAAGGAACUUUGACCUCUGUAGACCUUACAUAGGGUAAGAGGAUCCUAGAUUCAGAGCUCUGAGAGACACCUUCUCUCAUGUUUUCAUGCUGCUGCUACAGUGUAUUUCUAAAGGAAUGCUUUAGAAAGUGCUAUAAGUAGAACUUCAUAAUCAUUCUUAUCUGUCACUAAUUCUACAGGAAGCUUGACCUUUAAUCAAGAGGAAAGCACAUUAGAAAAUAUCACUUUAUUUUACAUCUAAUGUGCAUACAUACACCUCCAGUUCUUUGAUGAUUACUAAUCUUGUUUUUCAUUUGCCUCCUGCUGUACUAUUUUCUAAUUUUAGUUACUAAUAUAUUACUAUCAUAUUUACAAUGCAGGUAAAUGAUAUUUAUUUACCUAAAUCUUGAAUCCAAAGGAUCUUAAUAAAUAAGUUUAUCUACAGAAGGUAUUUUCCUUG
This 620-nucleotide long non-coding RNA is filed under the name Coturnix japonica (Japanese quail). RNAcentral's name for it is "lncRNA (ENSCJPG00005000118.1)". The record is from RNAcentral. Lineage: Eukaryota; Metazoa; Chordata; Aves; Galliformes; Phasianidae.